Long non-coding RNA from Homo sapiens (human), 546 nucleotides. The record is from Ensembl. Lineage: Eukaryota; Metazoa; Chordata; Mammalia; Primates; Hominidae.
ACCUGAGAGAGUAACUGUGUGGACAUGGGGUUAGUGGCAAGGAGAGGGAAGGGUUCAGGGUUACACAUAUCAGGAACCACUCUGUCUUGCAUAAAGUCAUGAAGUUAUGAGGAGAUCAGAAACCAAGCUCGGUUACAGAGGGGCAGGUACACGAGGCCCAGCCCCAUCCCUCGUAGGGAGAGCUGGGCCCUACACUCGACUCACAGGACCAUGCGGGAACUCAAGUGUGCAAAGGUCCUCCACCGCUCUCAACUUCUGCUUAGAAAUGUCUCUUACACAGCUGUCAGUGCAGAAGGGACAUAGCUUAGCAGUUAAACGCAAGCACUCUAGAGCUAACCCGCCUGGGUUCAAAUCCAUCUCAUGACUUACGAAUGACUGUGUGUGAGUUACUUAAUCUCUCUGUGCUCACUUUCAUCUGUAAAGUGGGUUAUAGUCAGGAUUAAAUCCAUCAUGUGUAAAACCAUCAGUGUCUGGAUGUGAUUAGUGGUGUACUGAUGUUAUCUGCUAUUAUUCUUAUCAUCACUACCUGUACAGGAAAUGCAGAAA